UCGAGAAUCUUCGGCAAUGGGCGCAAGCCUGACCGAGCGACGCCGCGUGGAGGAUGAAGGCCUUCGGGUUGUAAACUCCUGUCGAGGGGGAAAAAGGCUUCGCAAGAAGCUUGAUUGAUCCCUGGAGGAAGCACGGGCUAAGUUCGUGCCAGCAGCCGCGGUAAGACGAACCGUGCGAACGUUAUUCGGAAUCACUGGGCUUAAAGCGCGUGUAGGCGGAUGAGAACGUCUGUCGCUGAAAUCCCCCGGCUCAACCGGGGAACUGGCGGAGAUACGGCUCGUCCGGAGGGGCGUAGGGGGACCUGGAACUUCCGGUGGAGCGGUGAAAUGCGUUGAGAUCGGAAGGAACGCCCGUGGCGAAAGCGAGGUCCUGGACGCCUACUGACGCUGAGACGCGAAAGCCAGGGGAGCGAACG
RNAcentral lists this ribosomal RNA (416 nucleotides) under uncultured bacterium. Its description in RNAcentral is "bacterial SSU rRNA". It matches the Rfam family "Bacterial small subunit ribosomal RNA", at positions 355 to 774 of the family's 1533-position model. The record is from RNAcentral.